Molecule: ribosomal RNA, 274 nt
Filed under: uncultured bacterium
Lineage: Bacteria
Description: partial 16S ribosomal RNA
Rfam family: Bacterial small subunit ribosomal RNA
Source: RNAcentral
AUACGGAGGGUGCAAGCGUUAUUCGGAAUCACUGUGUGUAAAGGACGCGUAGGCGGGUUGGCAAGACAGAUGUGAAAUCCUACAGCUUAACUGUAGAACUGCAUUUGAAACUGCUAACCUAGAGUAUGGGAGGGGGAGAUGGAAUUAGUGGUGUAGGGGUAAAAUCCGUAGAUAUCACUAGGAAUACCGAAAGCGAAGGCGAUCUCCUGGAACAUAACUGACGCUAAGGCGUGAAAGCGUGGGGAGCAAACAGGAUUAGAAACCCUAGUAGUCC